Molecule: long non-coding RNA, 969 nt
Organism: Acipenser ruthenus (sterlet)
Lineage: Eukaryota; Metazoa; Chordata; Actinopteri; Acipenseriformes; Acipenseridae
Exons: 3
Source: RefSeq, a predicted model, not a curated record
CAUGGAGCAAGCAGAGGAAGGUGGUCGUGGUCGUGGUCGUGGUAUUGUGAGCAGACAGCCUGGACAGAAUUGAAAGGAAAUCAAUUAGUGGUGGCCUUGGUCAUUUCCUCACUGAACUGCAAGAGUUGACAAUAGUUGAGAUGGUCCGUGCCAGUAAUGACAUCCGCCUUCGUGAGAUACAGAGCAAGAUUGAUGAUGACAAUGAUGUGAACAAUAGCAGAGACACCAUGUUUGAAUGAAACAACUCUACGUGGUACCUUUAUAAUAGGAAUAGUGAAAGGGUGAAGGAAUUAUGAUACCAAUAUGUACAAAGAAUGAAUGAGUUUGAUGUCAGCAUUUCUACAUAUGACUAUAUCUUCGUUGAUGAGGCAGGCUUCAACUUGACAAAAAGACACAGACAUGGCCAAAACAUUAUUUGACAGCGUGCCAUUGUGGAUGUGCCUGGGCAGCAUGGAGGGAACAUCACUAUGUGUGCUGCCAUCUGGCAUAAUGGUUGUUUGCCGCAGUCCAUUGCUUGGCGCAUGCAACACAGAGCGGCUGCUAGUCUUUCUAGGUGAAUUGCACAAUUGCCUUGUCCAACCCGAUGCAGCAAUGUCGGCAGGAAGAGAGGUCACAACAUUUGUCAUUAUUUAGACAAUGUGAGUUUCCAUCAUGCUGUGGUGGUGCAGGAGUGGUUCGCUGCACAUCCCUGCUUCUCGGUAAUGUACCUUCAACCGUAUUCCCCUUUUCUGAAUCCUAUCGACGAGUUUUUGUCCUCCUGGAGGUGGAAUGUGUAUGAUCACAUUCCCCAUGAACAAGCCGCACUUCUCCAGGCCAUGGAUGAGGCGUGUAAUGACAUUAUGCCAGAAGACUGCCAAGCCUGGAUCCAUCACGUCAGACAAUUCUUUCCACGGUGCAUAGCCAGAGAGAAUAUUCACUGUGAUGUGGAUGAAAACAUGUGGCCAGAAAGGAAUGAGAGAGUCAACGAUG